GCAGUCGAACGAACUCUGGUAUUGAUUGGUGCUUGCAUCAUGAUUUACAUUUGAGUGAGUGGCGAACUGGUGAGUAACACGUGGGAAACCUGCCCAGAAGCGGGGGAUAACACCUGGAAACAGAUGCUAAUACCGCAUAACAACUUGGACCGCAUGGUCCGAGUUUGAAAGAUGGCUUCGGCUAUCACUUUUGGAUGGUCCCGCGGCGUAUUAGCUAGAUGGUGAGGUAACGGCUCACCAUGGCAAUGAUACGUAGCCGACCUGAGAGGGUAAUCGGCCACAUUGGGACUGAGACACGGCCCAAACUCCUACGGGAGGCAGCAGUAGGGAAUCUUCCACAAUGGACGAAAGUCUGAUGGAGCAACGCCGCGUGAGUGAAGAAGGGUUUCGGCUCGUAAAACUCUGUUGUUAAAGAAGAACAUAUCUGAGAGUAACUGUUCAGGUAUUGACGGUAUUUAACCAGAAAGCCACGGCUAACUACGUGCCAGCAGCCGCGGUAAUACGUAGGUGGCAAGCGUUGUCCGGAUUUAUUGGGCGUAAAGCGAGCGCAGGCGGUUUUUUAAGUCUGAUGUGAAAGCCUUCGGCUCAACCGAAGAAGUGCAUCGGAAACUGGGAAACUUGAGUGCAGAAGAGGACAGUGGAACUCCAUGUGUAGCGGUGAAAUGCGUAGAUAUAUGGAAGAACACCAGUGGCGAAGGCGGCUGUCUGGUCUGUAACUGACGCUGAGGCUCGAAAGUAUGGGUAGCAAACAGGAUUAGAUACCCUGGUAGUCCAUACCGUAAACGAUGAAUGCUAAGUGUUGGAGGGUUUCCGCCCUUCAGUGCUGCAGCUAACGCAUUAAGCAUUCCGCCUGGGGAGUACGGCCGCAAGGCUGAAACUCAAAGGAAUUGACGGGGGCCCGCACAAGCGGUGGAGCAUGUGGUUUAAUUCGAAGCUACGCGAAGAACCUUACCAGGUCUUGACAUACUAUGCAAAUCUAAGAGAUUAGACGUUCCCUUCGGGGACAUGGAUACAGGUGGUGCAUGGUUGUCGUCAGCUCGUGUCGUGAGAUGUUGGGUUAAGUCCCGCAACGAGCGCAACCCUUAUUAUCAGUUGCCAGCAUUAAGUUGGGCACUCUGGUGAGACUGCCGGUGACAAACCGGAGGAAGGUGGGGAUGACGUCAAAUCAUCAUGCCCCUUAUGACCUGGGCUACACACGUGCUACAAUGGAUGGUACAACGAGUUGCGAACUCGCGAGAGUAAGCUAAUCUCUUAAAGCCAUUCUCAGUUCGGAUUGUAGGCUGCAACUCGCCUACAUGAAGUCGGAAUCGCUAGUAAUCGCGGAUCAGCAUGCCGCGGUGAAUACGUUCCCGGGCCUUGUACACACCGCCCGUCACACCAUGAGAGUUUGUAACACCCAAAGUCGGUGGGGUAACCUUUUAG
Molecule: ribosomal RNA, 1422 nt
Filed under: Lactiplantibacillus plantarum
Lineage: Bacteria; Bacillati; Bacillota; Bacilli; Lactobacillales; Lactobacillaceae
Description: bacterial SSU rRNA
Rfam family: Bacterial small subunit ribosomal RNA
Source: RNAcentral